Molecule: ribosomal RNA, 467 nt
Filed under: uncultured bacterium
Lineage: Bacteria
Description: partial 16S ribosomal RNA
Rfam family: Bacterial small subunit ribosomal RNA
Source: RNAcentral
GACGAACGCUGGCGGCGUGCUUAACACAUGCAAGUCGAACGGAAAGGCUCCAGCUUGCUGGAGUACUCGAGUGGCGAACGGGUGAGUAACACGUGGGUAAUCUGCCCUGCACUCUGGGAUAAGCCUGGGAAACUGGGUCUAAUACUGGAUAUGACCUUUCUCCUUAUGGGGUUUGGUGGAAAGUUUUUCGGUGUAGGAUGAGCCCGCGGCCUAUCAGCUUGUUGGUGGGGUGAUGGCCUACCAAGGCGACGACGGGUAGCCGGCCUGAGAGGGUGAUCGGCCACAUUGGGACUGAGAUACGGCCCAGACUCCUACGGGAGGCAGCAGUGGGGAAUAUUGUACAAUGGGCGGAAGCCUGAUGCAGCGACGCCGCGUGAGGGAUGACGGCCUUCGGGUUGUAAACCUCUUUCAGCAGGGACGAAGCGUAAGUGACGGUACCUGCAGAAGAAGCACCGGCUAACUAUGUG